This 253-nucleotide ribosomal RNA is filed under the name uncultured microorganism. RNAcentral's name for it is "partial small subunit ribosomal RNA". It matches the Rfam family "Bacterial small subunit ribosomal RNA", at positions 524 to 776 of the family's 1533-position model. The record is from RNAcentral.
UGCGUAGGUGGCAAGCGUUGUCCGGAUUUACUGGGCGUAAAGGGUGCGCAGGCGGAUAUUUAAGUGGGAUGUGAAAUCCCCGGGCUUAACCUGGGGGCUGCAUUCCAAACUGGAUAUCUAGAGUGCAGGAGAGGAGAAUGGAAUUCCUAGUGUAGCGGUGAAAUGCGUAGAGAUUAGGAAGAACACCAGUGGCGAAGGCGAUUCUCUGGACUGUAACUGACGCUGAGGCACGAAAGCGUGGGUAGCAAACAGG